RNAcentral lists this long non-coding RNA (1061 nucleotides) under Gadus morhua (Atlantic cod). RNAcentral describes it as "lncRNA (ENSGMOG00000034118.1)". Lineage: Eukaryota; Metazoa; Chordata; Actinopteri; Gadiformes; Gadidae. The record is from RNAcentral.
UAUUUCUAUGUCUGUCUCCGUUUCAGGACAUUAACAUUGUGUCAAAACAGGUAUAUGUGGGCAAACAAGUUACAGGACCAAAACAUAAAAAAUGACUCCCCAAAAGGUACAAAAAAGUGGAUGCAAUGCAUAAUCAAUUUUGCAAUUUGUAUAUUUGAUUGUGUUUUCCUAAGCACGUCUGCCAGGCUUCUACCUGCCACACAGAGGAAGCAGCAAGGGAUAUUUGUUUAGUGAUGUUCUCCUUUAACCUCAUCAGCACACGGCACAGAGCCAUGAGUCACUCUCUGCAUAUCUUCACUGUUUUUGUCAACAAGAUGCAGCCGCUCCAGCAGCCUGGGCCCAGCUGGGUCAAAGGCUUCUUGGCUAAGCUUAGGGGAUACAUCUGCCCCUGGAAGUAUAGCCAGAACCACCAAACUACCGAGCCACCCAUCCACAGACUCCCAGCUUCCUCAGUGCUUAGAAUGCAGCCAUAUUGCCAUUGUUACCCUGCAGCGGAUGGAAUGAAUGGAGGAAUAGAAGCGAAACGUUGGAAUUCCUCAGCUGAGCGGCUAAGGGGAAAAACUGAAGAGAAGCUAGAAUCCCCUGUACAAAAAUAAAUAGAAUCACUCCAGAACAUUGAAUAAUUGAAUAUGGGUCGAAGCAAAUGCUAGGAUAUGAUUGGCAAACAUCAGAGGACAGAGAUUCUAUUUGUAAUUCUCAAUCCUCUAAUUUGAACCCUGAAUGCGAUUGGCCAGGACUGAUGCUAGUUGACCUCAGCAGCAGGAAACACAUACAUAAAAUAGUCCAGACCUAUGAGCCUGUGACCUUAAAUCAUGAAAUGUUCCUCACUUAUAAAAACAAUGUCAGAAGAAGUGCAACGUUUUUUAAUUACUAAUUAGCACCGCACUCACAACUUCACACACACUUGCUCAAACAAUAAAAAUACCUUAGCAUACGGAUAAAUGAACCUCCUCCAUGGUCAGGCCAUGUCAGUUCUGCUCUCUGCCUCUUAGAAAGGUUGUGACAACAAAAACAACAUAUUCAGUUGUGUGUUUCAGUGCGUGUGCAUUUGCGUGUGUCUG